GACCAGCGAUGAAUAGCUCAGCUGGUAGAGCAUGAGACCAUUAAUCUCAGGGUCUUGGGUUCAAGCCCCACGUUGGGCA
Non-coding RNA from Podarcis lilfordi (Lilford's wall lizard), 79 nucleotides. The record is from the annotation of a GenBank genome assembly. Lineage: Eukaryota; Metazoa; Chordata; Lepidosauria; Squamata; Lacertidae.